GACGAACGCUGGCGGCGUGCUUAACACAUGCAAGUCGAACGGAAAGGCCCUGCUUUUGUGGGGUGCUCGAGUGGCGAACGGGUGAGUAACACGUGAGUAACCUGCCCUUGACUUUGGGAUAACUUCAGGAAACUGGGGCUAAUACCGGAUAGGAGCUCCUGCUGCAUGGUGGGGGUUGGAAAGUUUCGGCGGUUGGGGAUGGACUCGCGGCUUAUCAGCUUGUUGGUGGGGUAGUGGCUUACCAAGGCUUUGACGGGUAGCCGGCCUGAGAGGGUGACCGGCCACAUUGGGACUGAGAUACGGCCCAGACUCCUUCGGGAGGCAGCAGUGGGGAAUAUUGCACAAUGGGCGGAAGCCUGAUGCAGCAACGCCGCGUGCGGGAUGACGGCCUUCGGGUUGUAAACCGCUUUCGCCUGUGACGAAGCGUGAGUGACAGUAAUGGGUAAAGAAGCACCGGCUAACUACGUG
This 468-nucleotide ribosomal RNA is filed under the name uncultured bacterium. Its description in RNAcentral is "partial 16S ribosomal RNA". It matches the Rfam family "Bacterial small subunit ribosomal RNA", at positions 28 to 507 of the family's 1533-position model. The record is from RNAcentral.